Molecule: long non-coding RNA, 585 nt
Organism: Ostrea edulis (European flat oyster)
Lineage: Eukaryota; Metazoa; Mollusca; Bivalvia; Ostreida; Ostreidae
Exons: 2
Source: RefSeq, a predicted model, not a curated record
AUUGAUAUAAAAACAUAUAAAGACAUAUGCAAAAGUCUAUUUCACGAUCAAAAAUCAAUCCGGAAAGAUGAAAAUAAAACCUGUUAUGGUUGUGUUAGUUGUGCUGGUGUUGGCUCUCUGUGUGGUUCGUGCAAGUUCUACUCAGAACGCGCAACAGGAAGAACCGGAUAAUGUAGAUGAUAACCACAGAAGCAGAAUUGGUGGCAUAUAUCCCGUGGGGCCCCGUACUAGGCCUCCUCCAACAAACGGAUAGAUGAUUGUAUCCCGCAGUCAUCGAUAUCCAGAUGUGAAUUAAACUUAGAAAUGUUAUAGUCAAAACAAAAUAUCCGAUGCUAUUAUUUCCUGUGUUUGAAACGUCAAUUUAACAUUCAAAUCUAUAUUUAGAAAUACCUGUAUCCUACUAGCAAAAGGAGACAAGAAAGAUCACCGUUAUCGAAAACAUACAUAAUCAAAUAAACCUUAAACUGCCAAGUGUAUUAUCUAAAGUUGUGUGGAAACGCACCUGUUAAAUCUGAAUAAUUCAAUAUAUGCUAGUAAAUGUUAAUUUCUGUAUCAAUAUAUCCAGGAACAAGAUUAUGUAUAUUC